RNAcentral lists this ribosomal RNA (468 nucleotides) under uncultured bacterium. Its description in RNAcentral is "partial 16S ribosomal RNA". It matches the Rfam family "Bacterial small subunit ribosomal RNA", at positions 28 to 507 of the family's 1533-position model. The record is from RNAcentral.
GACGAACGCUGGCGGCGUGCUUAACACAUGCAAGUCGAACGGAAAGGCCCUGCUUUUGUGGGGUUCUCGAGUGGCGAACGGGGGAGUAACACGUGAGUAACCUGCCCUUGACUUUGGGAUAACUUCAGGAAACUGGGGCUAAUACCGGAUAGGAGCUCCUGCUGCAUGGUGGGGGUUGGAAAGUUUCGGCGGUUGGGGAUGGACUCGCGGCUUAUCAGCUUGUUGGUGGGGUAGUGGCUUACCAAGGCUUUGACGGGUAGCCGGCCUGAGAGGGUGACCGGCGACCUUGGGACUGAGAUACGGCCCAGACUGCUACGGGAGGCAGCAGUGGGGAAUAUUGCACAAUGGGCGGAAGCCUGAUGCAGCAGCGCCGCGUGCGGGAUGACGGCCUUCGGGUUGUAAACCGCUUUCGCCUGUGACGAAGCGUGAGUGACGGUAAUGGGUAAAGAAGCACCGGCUAACUACGUG